CAAGUAUUAAAGGUCCCGCCUGCCCAGUGAUAUUAUAUUUAACGGCCGCGGUACUCUGACCGUGCGAAGGUAGCGUAAUCACUUGCCCUCUAAUUAGGGGCCAGUAUGAAAGGCCAAAUGAGGGUCCACCUGUCUCUUGUAGCACGAUAAUGAAACUGAUCUCCUAGUACAAAAGCUAGGAUACCCCCAUAAGACGAGAAGACCCUGUGGAGCUUAUAAAUACCGUUGCUAAGCCUAAUCUAACCAGGCCUAAAUAGCAACAUUUUUUAGUUGGGGCAACUAUGGAGUAAAACAAAACCUCCACGCCAACAACUCACAUCUUUAACCCAGGCCCACAAGCCAAAACCAAAAAAAGACCCAGCACCGCUGACCAUCGAACCAAGUUACCCCAGGGAUAACAGCGCCAUCCUCUUCUAGAGUCCAUAUCGCCAAGAGGGCUUACGACCUCGAUGUUGGAUCAGGAUCCCCCAGUGGUGCAGCCGCUACUGAAGGUCCGUUUGUUCAACGGUUAAA
This 513-nucleotide ribosomal RNA is filed under the name Stenodactylus petrii. RNAcentral describes it as "partial 16S ribosomal RNA". It matches the Rfam family "Bacterial large subunit ribosomal RNA", at positions 1840 to 2592 of the family's 2925-position model. Lineage: Eukaryota; Metazoa; Chordata; Lepidosauria; Squamata; Gekkonidae. The record is from RNAcentral.